UACGAAGGGGGCUAGCGUUGCUCGGAAUUACUGGGCGUAAAGCGCACGUAGGCGGUCUUUUAAGUCGGGGGUGAAAUCCUGGAGCUCAACUCCAGAACUGCCUUCGAUACUGGAAGACUUGAGUCCGGGAGAGGUGAGUGGAACUGCGAGUGUAGAGGUGAAAUUUCGUAGAUAUUCGCAAGAACACCAGUGGCGAAGGCGGCUCACUGGCCCGGUACUGACGCUGAGGUGGCGAAAGCGUGGGGAGCAAACA
This 253-nucleotide ribosomal RNA is filed under the name uncultured bacterium. RNAcentral describes it as "partial 16S ribosomal RNA". It matches the Rfam family "Bacterial small subunit ribosomal RNA", at positions 524 to 774 of the family's 1533-position model. The record is from RNAcentral.